This 252-nucleotide long non-coding RNA is filed under the name Homo sapiens (human). RNAcentral describes it as "HSALNT0138107". Lineage: Eukaryota; Metazoa; Chordata; Mammalia; Primates; Hominidae. The record is from RNAcentral.
GCUGCCCCAGCGGCGCUCGCACCAUCCACCCUUGAAAUUGCCGUAGAAGACAUGGUCUUGCUCUGUCACCAGGCUGGAGUACAGCGGCUGAUCAUAGCUCCCUGCAGCCUCUGCCUCCUGGGCUGAAGCUAUCCUCCUACAUCAGCCUCCUGAGUAGCUGGGAUUACAGAGAGACAGAAACUGAAAACCAUGGUUUCAGGCUGCUAAAAACCUAACAUGAAACAAAACAGAAGAACAACAACAACAAAAUAA